ACUCAAAUGAAUUGACGGGGACCCGCACAAGCGGUGGAGCAUGUGGUUUAAUUCGACGCAACGCGAAGAACCUUACCUAAACUAGAAUGCCUUUGAUCGUUCCCUAAUAGGAAUUUCCUGAGCAAUCAGGCAAAGUGCAAGGUGCUGCAUGGCUGUCGUCAGCUCGUGUCGUGAGAUGUUGGGUUAAGUCCCGCAACGAGCGCAACCCUUAUUGACAGUUGCCAACAGGUAAUGCUGGGAACUCUGUCAAGACUGCCGUUGAUAAAACGGAGGAAGGUGGGGAUGAUGUCAAGUCAUCAUGGCCUUUAUGUUUAGGGCUACACACGUGCUACAAUGGUUGGUACAAAACGUCGCAAUCUCGCAAGAGGGAGCUAAUCGCAAAAACCAAUCUCAGUUCGGAUUGAAGUCUGCAACUCGACUUCAUGAAGUUGGAAUCGCUAGUAAUCGCAGAUCAGAACGCUGCGGUGAAUACGUUCCCGGGUCUUGCACACACCGCCCGU
This 500-nucleotide ribosomal RNA is filed under the name uncultured bacterium. Its description in RNAcentral is "partial 16S ribosomal RNA". It matches the Rfam family "Bacterial small subunit ribosomal RNA", at positions 899 to 1397 of the family's 1533-position model. The record is from RNAcentral.